AAAGUCCGUAAGUCAAGACUUCUUCCGGCGAGCUUCCGGUGAACUUCCGGCGGUCUUCCGAUAAACUCUCGGAAACCAUUCUGCGGACUCCCGGCAUGCUCCUAGACUUCACGAUUUGAUCUUGGCGAGUUCCGACGAGCUUCUUUGGCAAGCUUCUGGACUUCUCGGAUUUGUUCCCGUAAAACCUCCGACGACCAUCCGAACUUCCGUCGAACUCUCGAACUCCCA
Molecule: long non-coding RNA, 228 nt
Filed under: Musa acuminata (dwarf banana)
Lineage: Eukaryota; Viridiplantae; Streptophyta; Magnoliopsida; Zingiberales; Musaceae
Description: long non-coding RNA (MACU_LNC003990)
Source: RNAcentral